GCACAAAGGCUAACCCAGUAGCACAACAGUUAACCCAGUAGCACAAAGGCUAACCCAGUAGCACAUCAGUUAACCCAGUAGCACAAAGGCUAACCCAGUAGCACAACAGUUAACCCAGUAGCACAAAGGCUAACCCAGUAGCACAACAGUUAACCCAGUAGCACAAAGGUUAACCCAGUAGCACAAAGGCUAACCCAGUAGCACAACGACUAACCCAGUAGCACAAAGGCUAACCCAGUAGCACAACGACUAACCCAGUAGCACAAAGGCUAACUUAGUAGCGCAAAGGCUAACCCAGUAGCACAACGACUAACCCAGUAGCACAACAGUUAACCCAGUAGCACAAAGGAUAACCAGUAGCACAUCAGUUAACCCAGUAGCACAAAGGCUAACCCAGUAGCACAACAGUUAACCCAGUAGCACAACGACUAACCCAGUAGCACAACAGUUAACCCAGUAGCACAACAGUUAACCCAGUAGCACAAAGGCUAACCCGGUAGCACAUCAGUUAACCCAGUAGCACAACAGUUAACCCGGUAGCACAACGACUAACCCAGUAGCACAACAGUUAACCCAGUAGCACAACGACUAACCCAGUAGCACAACAGUUAACCCAGUAGCACAACGACUAACCCAGUAGCACAACAGUUAACCCAGUAGCACAAAGGCUAACCCGGUAGCACAAAGCCUAACCCAGUAGCGCGUAUGAUAACCCAGUAGCACAUCAGUUAACCCAGUAGCACAUGGGCUAACCCAGUAGCGCGUAUGAUAACCCAGUAGCACAGCGAAUAACCCAGUAGCACAUUGUUUACAACAACAAGCUCCUGUGUCAACAAGGCCUCUCACGUUUGGAAAAAAACACAGUAGAAAAAGUCUCUAACUGACACUU
Gasterosteus aculeatus aculeatus (three-spined stickleback) is the source of this 889-nucleotide long non-coding RNA. The record is from Ensembl. Lineage: Eukaryota; Metazoa; Chordata; Actinopteri; Perciformes; Gasterosteidae.